This 69-nucleotide transfer RNA is filed under the name Diaphorencyrtus aligarhensis. RNAcentral's name for it is "tRNA-Thr". Lineage: Eukaryota; Metazoa; Arthropoda; Insecta; Hymenoptera; Encyrtidae. The record is from RNAcentral.
AAACUAUUAAUUUAAAAUAUAAAAUAUUAAUUUUGUAAAUUAAAAAUAUAAAGUAAAUUAUAUAGUUUA